This 835-nucleotide ribosomal RNA is filed under the name uncultured archaeon. RNAcentral's name for it is "bacterial SSU rRNA". It matches the Rfam family "Archaeal small subunit ribosomal RNA", at positions 21 to 843 of the family's 1478-position model. The record is from RNAcentral.
CCCGACUGCUAUUUGGGUGAGAAUAAGCCAUGCGAGUUGAAUGGGAUACCUAAAUUUCCCAUAGCGAACUGCUCAGUAACACAUGAUCAACUCACCCUAUAGAGAAACAUAACCUCGGGAAACUGAGGAUAAUAUUUCAUAGUUGAAUUGGCUUGGAAAAGUUUUUCGACGAAAGGGGUAAAAAAAAUGGUUUUUAUCUGCUAUAGGAUAGGAUCGUGUUCGAUUAUGGUUGUUGGUGAGGUAAUGGCUCACCAAGCCGAUAAUCGAUAGGGGCCGUGAGAGCGGGAGCCCCGAGAUGGGUACUGAGACAACGACCCAGGCCUUACGAGGCGCAGCAGGCGCGAAACCUCCGCAAUACACGAAAGUGUGACGGGGUUACCCAAAGUGUUCAAUUUUGAACUGUGGUAGGUGAGUAAUGUUCCCUACUAGAAAGGAGAGGGCAAGGCUGGUGCCAGCCGCCGCGGUAAAACCAGCUCUUCAAGUGGUCGGGAUAAUAUUGGGCUUAAAGUGUCCGUAGCCGGUUUAGUAAGUUCCUGGUAAAAUCGGAUAGCUUAACUAUCUAUAUGCUAGGAAUACUACUAUACUAGAGGGCGGGAGAGGUCUGAGGUACCGCAGGGGUAGGGGUGAAAUCUUAUAAUCCUUGUUGGACCACCAGUGGCGAAGGCGUCAGACUGGAACGCGCCUGACGGUGAGGGACGAAAGCCAGGGGAGCGAACCGGAUUAGAUACCCGGGUAGUCCUGGCCGUAAACGAUGCAUACUAGGUGAUGGCACGGCCAUGAGCCGUGUCAGUGCCGUAGGGAAACCGUUAAGUGUGCCGCCUGGGAAGUACGGUCG